Molecule: ribosomal RNA, 253 nt
Filed under: uncultured bacterium
Lineage: Bacteria
Description: partial 16S ribosomal RNA
Rfam family: Bacterial small subunit ribosomal RNA
Source: RNAcentral
UACGAAGGGGGCGAGCGUUGUUCGGAAUUACUGGGCGUAAAGGGCGCGUAGGCGGCCGAUCAAGUCAGAUGUGAAAGUCCUGGGCUUAACCUGGGGACUGCAUUUGAUACUGAUUGGCUUGAAUGCAGGAGAGGAUAGCGGAAUUCCCAGUGUAGAGGUGAAAUUCGUAGAUAUUAGGAAGAACACCAGUGGCGAAGGCGGCUUACUGGCUCGUAACUGACGCUGAGGCGCGAAAGCGUGGGGAGCAAACAGG